RNAcentral lists this ribosomal RNA (883 nucleotides) under uncultured bacterium. RNAcentral's name for it is "bacterial SSU rRNA". It matches the Rfam family "Bacterial small subunit ribosomal RNA", at positions 39 to 918 of the family's 1533-position model. The record is from RNAcentral.
GCAUCCAGCUUACCAUGCAGUCGAGGGGAACGGCAUUGAGUGCUUGCACUCUUUGGACGUCGACCGGCGCACGGGUGAGUAACGCGUAUCCAACCUUCCCAUUACUGUGGGAUAACCUGCCGAAAGGCAGACUAAUACCGCAUAGUCUUCGAUGACGGCAUCAGAUUUGAAGUAAAGAUUUAUCGGUAAUGGAUGGGGAUGCGUCUGAUUAGCUUGUUGGCGGGGUAACGGCCCACCAAGGCAACGAUCAGUAGGGGUUCUGAGAGGAAGGUCCCCCACAUUGGAACUGAGACACGGUCCAAACUCCUACGGGAGGCAGCAGUGAGGAAUAUUGGUCAAUGGACGGAAGUCUGAACCAGCCAAGUAGCGUGCAGGAUGACGGCCCUAUGGGUUGUAAACUGCUUUUGUAUGGGGAUAAAGUUAGGGACGUGUCCCUAUUUGCAGGUACCAUACGAAUAAGGACCGGCUAAUUCCGUGCCAGCAGCCGCGGUAAUACGGAAGGUCCAGGCGUUAUCCGGAUUUAUUGGGUUUAAAGGGAGCGUAGGCUGGAGAUUAAGUGUGUUGUGAAAUGUAGACGCUCAACGUCUGAAUUGCAGCGCAUACUGGUUUCCUUGAGUACGCACAACGUUGGCGGAAUUCGUCGUGUAGCGGUGAAAUGCUUAGAUAUGACGAAGAACUCCGAUUGCGAAGGCAGCUGACGGGAGCGCAACUGACGCUUAAGCUCGAAGUGCGGGUAUCAAACAGGAUUAGAUACCCUGGUAGUCCGCACAGUAAACGAUGGAUGCCCGCUGUUGGUACCUGGUAUCAGCGGCUAAGCGAAAGCAUUAAGCAUCCCACCUGGGGAGUACGCCGGCAACGGUGAAACUCAAAGGAAUUGACGGAA